This 492-nucleotide ribosomal RNA is filed under the name uncultured bacterium. Its description in RNAcentral is "partial 16S ribosomal RNA". It matches the Rfam family "Bacterial small subunit ribosomal RNA", at positions 29 to 507 of the family's 1533-position model. The record is from RNAcentral.
AGUGAACGCUGGCGGUAGGCCUAACACAUGCAAGUCGAACGGCAGCACAGUAAGAGCUUGCUCUUACGGGUGGCGAGUGGCGGACGGGUGAGGAAUACAUCGGAAUCUACUUUUUCGUGGGGGAUAACGUAGGGAAACUUACGCUAAUACCGCAUACGACCUACGGGUGAAAGCAGGGGAUCUUCGGACCUUGCGCGAUUGAAUGAGCCGAUGUCGGAUUAGCUAGUUGGCGGGGUAAAGGCCCACCAAGGCGACGAUCCGUAGCCGGUCUGAGAGGAUGAUCAGCCCCACUGGAACUGAGACACGGUCCAGACUCCUACGGGAGGCAGCAGGGGGGAAUAUUGGACAAUGGGCGAAAGCCUGACCCAGCCAUCCCGCGUGGGUGAAGAAGGCCUUCGGUUUGUAAAGCCCUUUUGUUGGGAAAAAAAAGCAGCGGGUUAAUCCCCGCCUGUUCUGAGGGUACCCAAAAAAAAAGCACCGGCUAACUUCGUG